RNAcentral lists this ribosomal RNA (355 nucleotides) under uncultured bacterium. RNAcentral describes it as "bacterial SSU rRNA". It matches the Rfam family "Bacterial small subunit ribosomal RNA", at positions 8 to 351 of the family's 1533-position model. The record is from RNAcentral.
AGAGUUUGAUCCUGGCUCAGGAUGAACGCUAGCUACAGGCUUAACACAUGCAAGUCGAGGGGAAACGACAUCGAAAGCUUGCUUUUGAUGGGCGUCGACCGGCGCACGGGUGGGUAACGCGUAUCCAACCUGCCCACCACUUGGGGAUAACCUUGCGAAAGUAAGACUAAUACCCAAUGACGUCUCUAGAAGACAUCUGAAAGAGAUUAAAGAUUUAUCGGUGAUGGAUGGGGAUGCGUCUGAUUAGCUUGUUGGCGGGGUAACGGCCACCGAAGGCGACGAUCAGUAGGGGUUCUGAGAGGAAGGUCCCCCANAUUCGGAACUGAGACACGGUCCAAACUCCUACGGGAGACCA